GAUGAACGCUGGCGGCGUGCCUAAUACAUGCAAGUCGAGCGAACAGAUGAGGAGCUUGCUCCUCUGACGUUAGCGGCGGACGGGUGAGUAACACGUGGAUAACCUACCUAUAAGACUGGGAUAACUUCGGGAAACCGGAGCUAAUACCGGAUAAUAUAUUGAACCGCAUGGUUCAAUAGUGAAAGACGGUUUUGCUGUCACUUAUAGAUGGAUCCGCGCCGCAUUAGCUAGUUGGUAAGGUAACGGCUUACCAAGGCAACGAUGCGUAGCCGACCUGAGAGGGUGAUCGGCCACACUGGAACUGAGACACGGUCCAGACUCCUACGGGAGGCAGCAGUAGGGAAUCUUCCGCAAUGGGCGAAAGCCUGACGGAGCAACGGCGCGUGAGUGAUGAAGGUCUUCGGAUCGUAAAACUCUGUUAUUAGGGAAGAACAAAUGUGUAAGUAACUAUGCACGUCUUGACGGUACCUAAUCAGAAAGCCACGGCUAACUACGUG
RNAcentral lists this ribosomal RNA (497 nucleotides) under uncultured bacterium. RNAcentral's name for it is "partial 16S ribosomal RNA". It matches the Rfam family "Bacterial small subunit ribosomal RNA", at positions 28 to 507 of the family's 1533-position model. The record is from RNAcentral.